Molecule: ribosomal RNA, 409 nt
Filed under: uncultured bacterium
Lineage: Bacteria
Description: bacterial SSU rRNA
Rfam family: Bacterial small subunit ribosomal RNA
Source: RNAcentral
UGGGGAAUAUUGCACAAUGGGGGAAACCCUGAUGCAGCGACGCAGCGUGCGGGAUGACGGCCUUCGGGUUGUAAACCGCUUUCAGCAGGGAAGAAGCCCUUCGGGGUGACGGUACCUGCAGAAGAAGUACCGGCUAACUACGUGCCAGCAGCCGCGGUAAUACGUAGGGACCAAGCGUUGUUCGGAUUUACUGGGCGUAAAGGGCGCGUAGGCGGCGUGGUAAGUCAGCUGUGAAAUCUCCGAGCUUAACUCGGAACGGUCAGCUGAUACUGCUGUGCUAGAGUACAGAAGGGGCAAUCGGAAUUCUUGGUGUAGCGGCGAAAUGCGUAGAUAUCAAGAGGAACACCUGAGGUGAAGACGGGUUGCUGGGCUGAUACUGACGCUGAGGCGCGAAAGCUAGGGUAGCAAA